AUUGAACGCUGGCGGCAGGCCUAACACAUGCAAGUCGAACGAGUGGCGGACGGGUGAGUAAUGUCUGGGAAACUGCCUGAUGGAGGGGGAUAACUACUGGAAACGGUAGCUAAUACCGCAUACCAUGGGAUGUGCCCAGAUGGGAUUAGCUAGUAGGUGGGGUAAAGGCUCACCUAGGCGACGCUCCCUAGCUGGUCUGAGAGGAUGACCAGCCACACUGGAACUGAGACACGGCCCAGACUCCUACGGGAGGCAGCAGUGGGGAAUAUUGCACAAUGGGCGCAAGCCUGAUGCAGCCAUGCCGCGUGUAUGAAGAAGGCCUUCGGGUUGUAAAGCACUUUCAUCGGGGAGGCGUUACCCACAGAAGAAGCACCGGCUAACUCCGUGCCAGCAGCCGCGGUAAUAC
RNAcentral lists this ribosomal RNA (406 nucleotides) under uncultured bacterium. RNAcentral describes it as "partial 16S ribosomal RNA". It matches the Rfam family "Bacterial small subunit ribosomal RNA", at positions 30 to 526 of the family's 1533-position model. The record is from RNAcentral.